RNAcentral lists this transfer RNA (107 nucleotides) under Candidatus Woesearchaeota archaeon. RNAcentral describes it as "tRNA-Arg". It matches the Rfam family "tRNA". From Rfam's summary of the family: Transfer RNA (tRNA) molecules are approximately 80 nucleotides in length. Their secondary structure includes four short double-helical elements and three loops (D, anti-codon, and T loops). Further hydrogen bonds mediate the characteristic L-shaped molecular structure. tRNAs have two regions of fundamental functional importance: the anti-codon, which is responsible for specific mRNA codon recognition, and the 3' end, to which the tRNAs corresponding amino acid is attached (by aminoacyl-tRNA synthetases). tRNAs cope with the degeneracy of the genetic code in two manners: having more than one tRNA (with a specific anti-codon) for a particular amino acid; and 'wobble' base-pairing, i.e. permitting non-standard base-pairing at the 3rd anti-codon position. Lineage: Archaea; Nanobdellati; Candidatus Woesearchaeota. The record is from RNAcentral.
GGCCCUGUAGCCUAGCCUGGAUAGGGCGACAGCCUUCUAAGCUGAGAUAAGUGAGCUAUGGCUCGUUAUCGUUUAUUAGAUCCCGCGUUCGAAUCGCGGCAGGGCCG